RNAcentral lists this unclassified non-coding RNA (250 nucleotides) under uncultured fungus. RNAcentral describes it as "sequence contains 5.8S rRNA gene". The record is from RNAcentral. Lineage: Eukaryota; Fungi.
GAACGCACAUUGCGCCCCUCGGCAUUCCGUGGGGCAUACCUGUUCGAGCGUCAUUUCAACCCUCAGACGGUCCUUUUGGUCUGUCUGGUCUUGGGCGUCGUCCAAGGACGUGCCUUAAAAGAAUUGGCGGCGUAGGUGCCGGCUUCGAGCGUAGCAGAUGCGAUUCGCUUUGGAAGCCGGCGCUCACCUUGCCAGAAAAAUCUCUGAAUGGCUGACCUCGGAUCAGGUAGGGAUACCCGCUGAACUUAAG